UGGGGGAUAUUGCACAAUGGGGGAAACCCUGAUGCAGCGAUGCCGCGUGAGUGAAGACGGCCUUCGGGUUGUAAAGCUCUGUCGCAGAGGACGAAAAUGACGGUACUCUGCAAGAAAGCUCCGGCUAACUACGUGCCAGCAGCCGCGGUAAUACGUAGGGAGCAAGCGUUGUCCGGAAUUACUGGGUGUAAAGGGAGCGUAGGCGGGAGGAUAAGUUGAAUGUGAAAUCUAUGGGCUCAACCCAUAGCUGCGUUCAAAACUGUUCUUCUUGAGUGAAGUAGAGGCAGGCGGAAUUCCUAGUGUAGCGGUGAAAUGCGUAGAUAUUAGGAGGAACACCAGUGGCGAAGGCGGCCUGCUGGGCUUUUACUGACGCUGAGGCUCGAAAGCGUGGGUAGCAAACA
Molecule: ribosomal RNA, 401 nt
Filed under: uncultured Oscillospiraceae bacterium
Lineage: Bacteria; Bacillati; Bacillota; Clostridia; Eubacteriales; Oscillospiraceae
Description: bacterial SSU rRNA
Rfam family: Bacterial small subunit ribosomal RNA
Source: RNAcentral